UAAGUAACACUGGCCGGGCGUGGUGGCUCGCGCCUGUAAUCCCAGGAUUUUGGGAGGCCCAGGCGGGCGGAUUACCUGAUAACAGGAGUUCGAGACCAGCCUGGCCAACAUGGCGAAACCCCGUCUCUACUAAAAAUACAAAAAUUAGCCGGGCGUGGUGGCGGGCGCCUCUAACCCCAGCUACUCGGGAGGCUGAGGCAGGGAGAACUGCUUGAACCCGGGAGGCGGAGCUUGCAGUGAGCCGAGAUCGCGCCAUUGCACUCCAGCCUGGGUGACAGAGCGAGACUCUGUCUCAAAAAUAAAAUAAAAAUAAAAUAAAAUAACAUAGACCCUCGCAGUUUGAUGUACGCGCUAGUGUGUAUACCUGGAGUCAGGUAUUCAGAAACCAGAUUUUAUUCUUCAAGGAAUCCCAGGAUGCUAGAAAGGUUGAUUGAUUGCACGGCUCUGAAGAAAAGGGGAUCAUGAGCCAAGGAAUGAAGGCAGCCUUCAGAAGCUAGAAAUGACCCUCAGCUAACAGAGAAGAAGGAAAGGAGACUUUGAUCCUUUAACUGCAAAGAACUGAAUUCUGCCAACAACUAAACAAACAAGGAAAUGGAUUUGCCCCCUACCCCAAAACCUCCAUAAAGGAAUGCAUUCCUGCCAGCACCUUGAAUUUAGCCCAGCCGAGCCGAAGCUGGACGGUACUGCUGCCAUCUCAGCUCACUGCAACCUCCCUGCCUGAUUCUCCUGCCUCAGCCUGCCGAGUGCCUGCGAUUGCAGGCGCGCGCCGCCACGCCUGACUGGUUUUCGUAAUUUUUUGGUGGAGACGGGGUUUUGCUGUGUCGGCCGGGCUGGUCUCCAGCUCCUAACCGCGAGUGAUCUGCCAGCCUUGGCCUCCCGAGGUGCCGGGAUUGCAGACGGAGUCUCGUUAACUCAGUGCUCAAUGGCACCCAGGCUGGAGUGCAGUGGCGUGAUCUCGGCUCGCUACAACCACCUCCCAGCCGCCUGCCUUGGCCUCCCAAAGAGGCAAGAUUGCAGCCUCUGCCCGGCCGCCCCCCCGUCUGGGAAGCGAGGAGCAUCUCCGCCUGGCCGCCCACCGUCUGGGAUGUGAGGAGCCCCUCUGCCUGGCUGCCCAGUCUGGAAAGUGAGGAGCGUCUCUGCCCGGCCGCCAUCCCAUCUAGGAAGUGAGGAGCGCCUCUUCCCGGCCGCCAUCACAUCUGGGAAGUGAGGAGCGUCUCUGCCCGGCCACCCAUCGUCUGAGAUGUGGGGAGCACCUCUGCCCUGCCGCCCCGUCCGGGAUGUGAGGAGCGUCUCUGCCCGGCCGCCCCGUCUGAGAAGUGAGGAGACCCUCUGCCUGGCAACCGCCCCGUCUGAGAAGUGAGCAGCCCCUCCGCCCGGCAGCCGCCCCGUCUGAGAAGUGAGGAGCCCCUCCGCCCAGCAGCCACCCCGUCUGGGAAGUGAGGAGCGUCUCCGCCCGGCACCACCUCGUCCGGGAGGGAGGUGGGGGGGUCAGCCCCCCGCCCGGCCAGCCGCCCCGUCCGGGAGGGAGGUGGGGGGAUCAGCCCCCCGCCCGGCCAGCCGCCCUGUCCGGGAGGUGAGGGGCGCCUCUGCCCGGCCGCCCCUACUGGGAAGUGAGGAGCCCCUCUGCCCGGCCAGCCGCUCCGUCCGGGAGGGAGGUGGGGGGGUCAGCCCCCCGCCCGGCCAUCCGCCCCAUCCGGGAGGUGGGGGGGUCAGCCCCCCGCCCGGCCAGCCGCCCCGUCCGGGAGGGAGGUGGGGGUGUCAGCCCCCCGCCCGGCCAG
Long non-coding RNA from Gorilla gorilla gorilla (western lowland gorilla), 1778 nucleotides. RefSeq lists it as uncharacterized. The transcript is spliced from 3 exons. The record is from RefSeq and is a predicted model, not a curated record. Lineage: Eukaryota; Metazoa; Chordata; Mammalia; Primates; Hominidae.